UUUUAAAUCGGAAGGAACCUUCCAAGUCUUGACAUCCUUAUGACAAUAUUUGUUAAUGAGAUAUUCCCUUCGGGACAUAAAUGACAGUGUGGUGUAUGGGUGUCGUCCUCUCGUGUCGAGAUAUGUUGGGUUAUGUCCCGCAACGAGCGCCACCCCUUGUCCUCAGUAGCCAGCAGUUCGGCUGGGCACUCUGUGGAGACUGCCAGGGAUGAACCUGGAGGAAGGGGGGGAUGACAUCAAAUCAUCAUGCCCCUUAUGACUUGGGCUACACACGUGCUACAAUGGCGUAAACAAAGGGAAGCGAAACCGCGAGGUCGAGCAAAUCUCAAAAAUAACGUCCCAGUUCGGAUUGUAGUCUGCAACUCGACUACAUGAAGCUGGAAUCGCUAGUAAUCCCAAAUCAAAAUGCUGCGGUAAAUACUUUCCCGGGUCUUGCACCCCCCGA
RNAcentral lists this ribosomal RNA (445 nucleotides) under uncultured rumen bacterium. RNAcentral's name for it is "bacterial SSU rRNA". It matches the Rfam family "Bacterial small subunit ribosomal RNA", at positions 952 to 1393 of the family's 1533-position model. The record is from RNAcentral.